UUCCUAGGGGAGCCUUUUGGCUGAGAAUCUGCAUUAUUGCAGUAACCCUUCGAACCUGAUCCGGGUAAUGCCGGCGAAGGGAAGGAAAGCA
This 91-nucleotide non-coding RNA is filed under the name uncultured Oceanisphaera sp. RNAcentral describes it as "TPP riboswitch (THI element)". It matches the Rfam family "TPP riboswitch aptamer (THI element)", at positions 6 to 94 of the family's 105-position model. From Rfam's summary of the family: Vitamin B(1) in its active form thiamin pyrophosphate (TPP) is an essential coenzyme that is synthesised by coupling of pyrimidine and thiazole moieties in bacteria. The previously detected thiamin-regulatory element, thi box was extended, resulting in a new, highly conserved RNA secondary structure, the THI element, which is widely distributed in eubacteria and also occurs in some archaea. The record is from RNAcentral. Lineage: Bacteria; Pseudomonadati; Pseudomonadota; Gammaproteobacteria; Aeromonadales; Aeromonadaceae.